This 846-nucleotide ribosomal RNA is filed under the name uncultured Gammaproteobacteria bacterium. RNAcentral describes it as "bacterial SSU rRNA". It matches the Rfam family "Bacterial small subunit ribosomal RNA", at positions 32 to 874 of the family's 1533-position model. The record is from RNAcentral. Lineage: Bacteria; Pseudomonadati; Pseudomonadota; Gammaproteobacteria.
GACGCUGGCGGUAGGCUUAACACAUGCAAGUCGAGCGAGAAAGUAUCUUCGGAUAUGAGUAGAGCGGCGGACGGGUGAGUAACGCGUAGGAAUCUACCUAGUAGAAGGGGAUAGCCCGGGGAAACUCGGAUUAAUACCGUAUACCUCCUAAGGGAGAAAGAGGGCCUCUCUUGAUGCUCUUGCUAUUAGAUGAGCCUGCGUAAGAUUAGCUUGUUGGUAAGGUAAUGGCUUACCAAGGCUACGAUCUUUAGCUGGUCUGAGAGGACGAUCAGCCACAUUGGGACUGAGACACGGCCCAGACUCCUACGGGAGGCAGCAGUGGGGAAUAUUGGACAAUGGGCGCAAGCCUGAUCCAGCCAUACCGCGUGUGUGAAGAAGGCCUUCGGGUUGUAAAGCACUUUAAGCAGGGAGAAAAAGUUAUAAGUUAAUACCUUAUAUCCGUGAUGUUACCUGCAGAAUAAGCACCGGCUAAUUCCGUGCCAGCAGCCGCGGUAAUACGGAAGGUGCAAGCGUUAAUCGGAAUUACUGGGCGUAAAGCGCGCGUAGGUGGUUUGUUAAGUUGGAUGUGAAAGCCCUGGGCUCAACCUAGGAACUGCAUCCAAAACUAACUCACUAGAGUACGAUAGAGGGAGGUAGAAUUCAUAGUGUAGCGGUGGAAUGCGUAGAUAUUAUGAAGAAUACCAGUGGCGAAGGCGGCCUCCUGGAUCUGUACUGACACUGAGGUGCGAAAGCGUGGGUAGCGAACAGGAUUAGAUACCCUGGUAGUCCACGCCGUAAACGAUGACAACUAGCUGUUGGGAGACAAUGUCUUUCAGUGGCGCAGCUAACGUUUUAAGUUGUCCGCCU